GCUUAUAUUUUGUGUGUUUUCCCCCAA
RNAcentral lists this non-coding RNA (27 nucleotides) under Rattus norvegicus (Norway rat). Lineage: Eukaryota; Metazoa; Chordata; Mammalia; Rodentia; Muridae. The record is from RNAcentral.